UUCUCUCGACCGCCUCGACGAGAGUCCUGUCCAGAACCGUUACGCACAGAGUCGCGCC
RNAcentral lists this transfer RNA (58 nucleotides) under Chloropicon mariensis. RNAcentral describes it as "partial Selenocysteine transfer RNA". Lineage: Eukaryota; Viridiplantae; Chlorophyta; Chloropicophyceae; Chloropicales; Chloropicaceae. The record is from RNAcentral.